AUAGGGUAUAGAAAAGAGGCCUUUUUAAUGGCUGAUUUUUUAUAAGGGUGAGCUUCACAAUCAAACUUUGGCGAGGGAGAUUGUGGGUUUUUUUUAUUUUUUA
RNAcentral lists this non-coding RNA (103 nucleotides) under Streptococcus phage phiARI0285-2. The record is from RNAcentral. RNAcentral also lists the same sequence under 1 other name. Lineage: Duplodnaviria; Heunggongvirae; Uroviricota; Caudoviricetes.